This 374-nucleotide ribosomal RNA is filed under the name uncultured bacterium. Its description in RNAcentral is "bacterial SSU rRNA". It matches the Rfam family "Bacterial small subunit ribosomal RNA", at positions 29 to 394 of the family's 1533-position model. The record is from RNAcentral.
AACGAACGCUGGCGGCGCGCCUAAUACAUGCAAGUCGAGCGAGAAGACGUAGCAAUACGUUUGUAAAGCGGCGAACGGGUGAGGAAUACAUGGGUAACCUACCCUCGAGUGGGGAAUAACUAGCCGAAAGGUUAGCUAAUACCGCGUACGCUCCUUGGACUUCGGUUCAGGGAGGAAAGCGAUACCGUGGGUAUCGCGCUCUUGGAUGGGCUCAUGUCCUAUCAGCUUGUUGGUGAGGAACGGCUCACCAAGGCUUCGACGGGUAGCUGGUCUGAGAGGACGAUCAGCCACACUGGCACUGCGACACGGGCCAGACUCCUACGGGAGGCAGCAGUAAGGAAUAUUGCGCAAUGGGCGAAAGCCUGACGCAGCGA